Molecule: ribosomal RNA, 251 nt
Filed under: uncultured prokaryote
Description: partial 16S ribosomal RNA
Rfam family: Bacterial small subunit ribosomal RNA
Source: RNAcentral
ACGUAGGAGGCGAGCGUUAUCCGGAUUUACUGGGCGUAAAGCGCGUGUAGGCGGUUCGGUGAGUUGGAUGUGAAAGCUCCUGGCUUAACUGGGAGAGGUCGUUCAAUACUGCCGGACUAGAGGAUGGGAGAGGGAGGUGGAAUUCCGGGUGUAGUGGUGAAAUGCGUAGAUAUCCGGAGGAACACCAGUGGCGAAAGCGGCCUCCUGGCCCAUCUCUGACGCUCAGACGCGAAAGCUAGGGGAGCGAACGG